AAAGCUUAAACGCAGUGUACAACCUGGGACGUCAUACCCAGAGCUGCCUCUGGCAAGAGGUGUUGUAGCUGGCUUAAGAGGGUAGAUGGAAGCAUCUGCCUCGGGGUGUCUCGCAGAGGUUCAAAGGAGCAAACUGCAUUCUGAAGAGCUGCGUGCCAUGGCAGGCUUUCCACACAAGUGGCUGAGGACUUGAGAUGAGACCAGAGAGUGACAAGGAGCAGCACGUGCAGGGAUGGUUUCCAAGCGCUGCGGUCGCUUUCUCUUCUGUUCAUCAGGUGCCACAGGCAAGGUGAAGAGGUGCCUGGAGCCCCAUGUCAUCUAGCCUGCAUGUGCCUUGAGGAUGAAGCCUGCUUUCCAGCAGUCCCUAAAGCUAAGUUUGGCCCGAAAUGCCCCGUCUGUGUCUUGGGUGGGGUUGUACCUUGGUGUCUUGUGUGAUAUGUGCAUGGGGAUGGCUUUUAAAUCAGUGCAGCAGAGGAACAGAAUCCAGUAACAACUGGGUGAAGAGGCCCUGGGUUCAUCCUUUUCAGCCUAGUGUGUGCCAGGCAGGGCAGUUCCAGCAUGUGUUCUAUGGUGUAUGUUUGUUUCUGUGUACUAUAGUAUCCAUUUAUCAGGUCUUGUUCCCAUAGUUCUUGGCUUCUGCAGUGCUUGCUGAGCACCGUAUCAUGGGUCUUAAAUGUAUUGUCUGGUUGGCACGGGACUAGUAAUGAAGUGUUUCUUGUCUUUCAUUGGGACUUUAAAAGGCUGAUCUCUCUCCAGAGCUUGAUGUAGUCUACAUUUCUUGAUGGCGGCCAUCAUGGCCCUCAGUCUUGGGCUUGUGUAUGUUCACGUACGGUUUAGGGAGCA
Molecule: long non-coding RNA, 843 nt
Organism: Cygnus atratus (black swan)
Lineage: Eukaryota; Metazoa; Chordata; Aves; Anseriformes; Anatidae
Exons: 5
Source: RefSeq, a predicted model, not a curated record